This 544-nucleotide ribosomal RNA is filed under the name uncultured bacterium. Its description in RNAcentral is "bacterial SSU rRNA". It matches the Rfam family "Bacterial small subunit ribosomal RNA", at positions 336 to 873 of the family's 1533-position model. The record is from RNAcentral.
CUCCUACGGAGGCAGCAGUGGGGAAUAUUGGACAAUGGGCGCAAGCCUGAUCCAGCAAUGCCGCGUGUGUGAAGAAGGCCCUCGGGUUGUAAAGCACUUUUAUCUGGAGCGAAAUCUGCAGGGCUAAUACCCAUGCAGUCUGACGGUACCAGAGGAAUAAGCACCGGCUAACUUCGUGCCAGCAGCCGCGGUAAUACGAAGGGUGCAAGCGUUACUCGGAAUUACUGGGCGUAAAGCGUGAGUAGGUGGUUUCUUAAGUCUGCUGUGAAAGCCCCGGGCUCAACCUGGGAAUUGCAGUGGAUACUGGGGAGCUAGAGUGCGGUAGAGGGUAGUGGAAUUCCCGGUGUAGCGGUGAAAUGCGUAGAGAUCGGGAGGAACACCAGUGGCGAAGGCGGCUACCUGGACCAGCACUGACACUGAGUCACGAAAGCGUGGGGAGCAAACAGGAUUAGAUACCCUGGUAGUCCACGCCCUAAACGAUGCGAACUGGAUGUUGGGUGCAACUUGGCACUCAGUAUCGAAGCUAACGCGUUAAGUCGCCGCC